AAAAAUUUCUAUUUGUUAAAAUUUAAAUUUAUAAAAAAUUUAAAGUUUUUUUUUUAAUAUAAGGUUUUAUGCUGGCUAAAAAGAAUUUUGGAACCACAUGUUAAAAAAAAUAAGUGUAUUGUCAAAAAAGGAUCCAUAUUUUAAACGGAGCAAAGAUCAGAAGACGGAUAAAGUAAAAAAAAUAGUUUGCUAACAAGAUUGAUUAGUUGACGAAUGCAUACAUAUUAAUGUAGAAAAACAAUCUCCGAAAAAGUGUAUAGACGCUGCAGCUAUUCCGCGAUAUAUAACUAUCGUAGUAAUUAUCUGAGUCAAUCAAAUCCAGAAUUAGAGAUGCAGGAUACUGCAGUUUUUUAGUAUUUGCUAAUGGGUGGUAACAGUGGAAUUUGCGGAAAGAGUCGAACGAAUAUCGUUCACCGGAUGGGUGCCUGGACAGAAGAUAUCUCCGUCAAGGUGGUGAAGUUUUCUCAGGAAUUAGAGUCGGUUAGCGACACCAGAACAAAAAUUUCACCACGUAGAAUAAUAGAUGACCGUAAUCGACGGAUCAGAAUUCACCAACAGAUCGACUGUGAUUGCAAUGCUGAUACGUCUACGACGAAUAAAAAGCGGACGACGACGGCGACGACGACGACGGCAAUAUCAACCUCAAUUAAACUUAGAAAUAUUACUUUAAUUAUAAUUAAAAUUGUCUUCCAUCACGUGUUGAUCACCUUACUGUUAGUUUACAAAUUAACUCAUAAAAACACAACUAAUUUUAAUUUAAAAAUCACAAAAAUUAAUUAUUUGUGCGUGUAAACAAAACAGUAUCAACAACAAUAUUAUUGUUUUAACAAUAACAACAGUUUAUAAAGUGCUUCACAAAGUAUUUUUUAAUAUGGAACCAAAAUGGCCGCGUUCCGGUAAUGAAGCAAACAAUUUUACCGAAAAAGACAAUGAUGUAAAUAUUAACUUUAAUAACUGGGCAAAGAGCGAUAGAAAUUCUAUAAAUUCAGGAGCACUAACUGAAUUUGACCCCAGUUAUGUAAAUAAAAAAGAAGACAGCCUCAGUAUGACGGACAAGGAACAAGAAGAAGAAAGCAAUGAAGAAGCGAUUGAGUUUGUCAAUGAUAUAAUUUUCGAGCAAGUAAAACCUGUCGCUGAUUUUACCUUCAAUUUAGACGGCGAAAUUGAUUCUAAAAAUAAUUCCGAGGCUCCAAAGCGACCUGAUAGUCUGUUUGAUGCGCCGAUCAAGAACCAGCAGCUGGCAAACGGCACCAAUAAAUGUUUGAGAGUGAAGUUCAGCUCCAAGAAGCGGAAAAAGUCUUCUAGGUCGAAGAAAGAAAUCAGCAAGGAACAACCGAGCCCGUCUUCAAUUUCUACUUCUAGCUGCUCGCCAUCAACAGGAGUGAGUUCCGAUGAAGACAACUCGAGUUUCGAGCAGUUCGCGGAAGCGCGUCCGCCUGACGGAGGCUGGGGCUGGGUGGUCGUCGCGGCGGCUUUUAUGGUCAACUUAAUAGCCGACGGAAUCACCUUUUCAUUCGGAGUGAUUUAUGUGGAGUUUUUGAACUACUUCGGCGAGGGAAAGUCCAAGACCGCGUGGAUCGGGUCGCUGUUCAUGGCAAUGCCACUGCUGUCGGGACCGGUAGCGAGUUUCUUGACGGACCGGUACGGGUGUAGAAGAGUUUCAAUAGCAGGAAGUAUUUUAGCGACGUUGGGGUUUGUGAUAAGCUCCUUUACAAGUUCAAUGGGCGUGCUGAUCUUCACCUUUGGAGUGGUAGCAGGCUUUGGUUUAUCACUGUGCUUCGUAGCGGCAGUGGUGAUCGUUGCUUACUACUUCGACAAGAAGAGAUCUUUUGCCACGGGUCUCUCUGUCUGCGGGAGCGGGAUCGGGACCUUCAUCUUCGCCCCGGUGACGCAGUACUUGCUGGCGGAGUACGGCUGGCGAGGAACUACGCUGAUUCUCGCGGGGCUGUUUUUUAAUUUGGCUGUCUGCGGGUGUCUCAUGCGGGACCUGGAGUGGACGACAGUCCGGGCCAAGGCCAAAUCUGAAGAGCGCAAGCGGAAUAGAGAACGCAAGAGGACCACCAGGUUGCAGAGCUCCAGCGUUGAUUCUUUCUCAGCGAGUUUGUCUAUUAACACAACGAAUCAAGCGCCGCACAUCGGGAACUCGGUCUCUGCUAAUCCAGUGGACGCUGACUGUCUCAGGAGGAUCCACAAGGAAGACAACAACGGCAAGCUCUUUUCUAGUCUUCUUACCUUGCCGACGUUCUUGAAGAACGGAGACCAGGUUCCUCUGGAGGUCCUUGAUCUUCUGUCGACGCGUAAAGAUGUUUAUAAUGUCUUGAUGCACAACUAUCCCAGGCUCUUGACUUCCUCAAGGAGCAUCAGCGACUCCGCGACGCUAAAUGACAUGGCAAACUGCCCAACUGUGACCGGCAGCCCUCACAGUCUAGACACCCAGCAGACUACUCAUCAAAAACAGUUCAAGUUUCUUAAUAAACAGCACAAACAUAUUAGCAAAAAAUUAAAUACUGUUAAGUUAAGUUCAGAUAAAGUUUCGAGCUCGGAACUCCAGAACAACGACGAAAUUGCCUUCAACAUUGCUUAUUUAUGGUGGCUCAAUAAAAACGACGCUGGUCCUUUAAAAAGAUCCGCGACUCUUGAGACACAUCGGAGAGUCGCACCGGCUUAUUUAAAAAAUGUCAGAGUUCACAGACACAGUCUGACUUACCGGGGUGCUAUGCUCAAUAUCAAUAGAUACCGCUUACGGGCAUCCAGUUGUCCGGAUAUUUAUAGAAAUUCAAUGACAACUAUUGCUAAGACUAAAUUUGUCUGGUACUCUGGUCUCUGGGAGUUUUGGGAUCUGCUCGUAGACAUGCUUGACUUUUCUCACUUUGCUGUUUCUAAGUUUCUUCUCUUUUCCAUCAGCAAUUUUCUGCUACACACUUGGUACGACGUGCCUUAUGUUUAUCUUACCGACAAUGCUAUUGAGAUGGGCUUCAGUGAGACCGAUGCGUCGAUUUUGAUUUCUGUUAUUGGAAUCGCUAAUAUGUUUGGCGAGAUUUUUCUUGGAUGGGCUGGAGACAGAGCGUGGGUUAACGCGUCAAUUGUCUACGCGCUUUGCAUGAUUUGUUGUGGUAUCGCUACUAGCUUAAUACCACUCGUUGAUGGUAAUUAUUAUGCACUAUGCUCGGUAGCAGGAGCUUUUGGAAUAUUUAUCGCUGCGAAUUACAGUCUUACGAGUAUUAUACUUGUUGAAGUUAUUACACUUGAACGAUUUACCAAUGCUUAUGGGUUACUUCUUCUUGUUCAAGGGAUUGCUAAUCUCAUGGGUCCACCUUUAGCUGGCUGGCUCUAUGACAUUACCGGAACGUAUGAUUUAUCAUUUUAUCUCGCGGGAUUUUUCAUUGCUCUGAGCGGUGUUCUUCUGAUGGUAGUGCCGCUAAUGGGUUAUUACAAAAAAUGCAUUAGUAGAAAUAAUGCUGACGUACCAAGAGAUGAAUUAUCUGAAAUAAAUAGUGUAUGAAUUGAAUAUUUAUAUUGAAGAUAAGAAAAAAAUAAUUAACAAUUUUAUUAAAAGGAAGAAUCCCGAUGAUGACAUUUCAGUGCGCAAGAGCUAAGCAUAAAUAUUACCAGGCUUGCGCGACGAGUCUAAGGCAUUUCACAAU
RNAcentral lists this unclassified non-coding RNA (3644 nucleotides) under Cotesia glomerata. Its description in RNAcentral is "uncharacterized LOC123266278, transcript variant X2". The record is from RNAcentral. Lineage: Eukaryota; Metazoa; Arthropoda; Insecta; Hymenoptera; Braconidae.